AUUGAACGCUGGCGGAAUGCUUUACACAUGCAAGUCGAACGGCAGCACGGGUGCUUGCACCUGGUGGCGAGUGGCGAACGGGUGAGUAAUACAUCGGAACGUACCCAGUUAUGGGGGAUAGCUAACCGAAAGGUUAGCUAAUACCGCAUACGCCCUGAGGGGGAAAGCGGGGGACCGUAAGGCCUCGCGUAAUUGGAGCGGCCGAUGUCUGAUUAGCUAGUUGGUGAGGUAAAGGCUCACCAAGGCGACGAUCAGUAGCAGGUCUGAGAGGAUGAGCUGCCACACUGGAGCUGAGACACGGUCCAGACUCCUACGGGAGGCAGCAGUGGGGAAUUUUGGACAAUGGGCGAAAGCCUGAUCCAGCCAUUCCGCGUGAGUGAAGAAGGCCUUCGGGUUGUAAAGCUCUUUCGGCAGGGAAGAAACGCUCUGGGAUAAUACCCGGCGGGCCUGACGGUACCCUCAAAGGAAGCACCGGCUAACUCUAUGCCAGCAGCCGCCGUAA
RNAcentral lists this ribosomal RNA (502 nucleotides) under uncultured bacterium. RNAcentral's name for it is "partial 16S ribosomal RNA". It matches the Rfam family "Bacterial small subunit ribosomal RNA", at positions 30 to 523 of the family's 1533-position model. The record is from RNAcentral.